RNAcentral lists this ribosomal RNA (497 nucleotides) under uncultured bacterium. RNAcentral describes it as "partial 16S ribosomal RNA". It matches the Rfam family "Bacterial small subunit ribosomal RNA", at positions 28 to 507 of the family's 1533-position model. The record is from RNAcentral.
GAUGAACGCUGGCGGCGUGCCUAAUACAUGCAAGUCGAGCGAAAAGACGAGGCGCUUGCUCCUCUGACGUUAGCGGCGGACGGGUGUGUCACAUGUGGAUAAUCUACCUAAAAGUCUGGGAUAACUUCGGGACACCGGCGCUAAUACCGGAUAAUCUAUUGCACCGUAUGGUUCAAUAGUGAAAGACGGUUUUGCUGUAACUACUCGAUGGAUCCGCGCCGCUGUAGCUAGUUGGUACGGUAACGGCUUACCACGGCUACGAGGCGUAGCCGACCGGAGAGGGGGGUCGGCCGCACUGGAGCUUAGACACGGUCCAGACUCCUACGGGAGGCAGCAGAAGGGAAUGUGCCGCAAUAGGCGAAAACCUUACGGAGCAACGCCGCGUGAGUUAUAAAGAUCUUGGGAGCGUAAAACUCGGUUAUUAGUGGUGAACAAAUGUGGAAUGAGCUGUACACUGCGUGACGGUACCUGGUCAGAAAGCCACGGCUAACUACGUG